UGUACAAUGUACAUAUGCCGCGUAUCAAUUAUGUGGAAAUAUAUUUACAAAGAUAUGUACAUGUAUGCAUGUGUUUGUAAGUGUGUUUGUGUGAGUGUGCAUAUGUAAGGCAAUUUCGAUGCCCUGGCACUGAAUGUCACUAAACGCGCCAACCAACAACUCGCAUUGCGUGCGAAAUACCCCGCAUCCGCCUCUGCCAACGUCUCUGCUGCCGUCACCAUGUACCUAUGUACGUAUGCUACUUACACCCUGUGCGAGUGAGUGAGUGUGAAGGAGUGCGACUGUUAAGUCUAUGCUCUUUUUUGUGCGUGCGUGUUAGUGUGUAGAUCAGCUUCGCAGUCGCUGUCGCUGUCGCAGUAGAAAAACCGCACGUCAUACAAACAAACAAACAAACAAUUCAGAUUCAUUCAUUGCGCGUCGGUUCGGUUCCAUUGUGAACGAUAACGAUUGUUGAUUGCCGCCACUGGUGAUUAUCGUCCGUUUUGUUACGCACUCAUCUCAUCUAGAAAAGGAUAGCGAUAGAGAGAGAGAGAGAGAGAAGAAGCUGCAGUGAGAGUGAAACGCUUGUGAAAGCAAGAUUGGAUAAUGAAUGAAAAUACCAAAAGCAAAUGUACAAAUACGUGUGUUGCAGCAACAACAACAACAAUUGCAAUUGAAAGAAUAUAUGUAUAUGUAGAAAGUGUCCAAGUUCGUGUUUGUUAGUGUCUUUUUGGUGCCAUUAAUUUAUUGGCCACGCCCACCUAUGCCGCCUAGGCCGCAUCAACGCAACGCACACAAAGACCUAACAAAAAUCCACACAAAAUGGCGAUAAGUUUAAGCGCCAGAGAAACGCCCAAGCGUGAAGUUUAAAAAAAAAAGUCAAAGCCAAAAGUAUAAAAAAAGUAACCAAAAGUUGUCGAAAUUUAUGCAACGAAAUUCAGCAGCGAAAGGGAGAAAAAUAGCGGCCGAUAGGCGAUAAGCGCCAAACAAAACGAAACUCGGAUCAAACUCGAUACAAGCGCCUAAGAUGUGUUCCCGCAACAUAAAGAUCUCGGUGGUGCUGUUUCUUGUCUUGAUACCCAUAUUCACAGCGUUGCCACACAAUCACAAUCUGUCGAAGCGCAGCAAUUUCUUUGAUCUGGAAUGCAAGGGCAUCUUCAAUAAGACCAUGUUCUUCCGCCUGGAUCGCAUCUGUGAGGAUUGCUAUCAAUUGUUCCGUGAGACGAGUAUACAUCGACUAUGCAAGAAAGACUGCUUUGAUUCCAAAUGGUUUGGCGAAUGCGUUAAAGUGCUAUUAACACCAUCAGAAGAAAUAACAAAUUUACAACAUUUUAUAAAAGUAGUGAAUGGUUCGCCCAUAUCAUUCAACAUGGCGCCGGUUACAUAACUUUAAGUGGUUCGGUUAAAGCCACCAACGAGCAACUACAACAACAACCACCACCACCACCAGAAACACCACCCACACCAUCCACAUCCGCAGUUACACACACACACACACACACAGAGAGACAGACACAUAAAAUACAAUACAAUAAUGGAAGAUGAACAAAAUUAAAGCAAAUUCCAGUUCCACAUGGAAUCCACAUCCGAAGAAUCUGAUCAAAAGCAAAAACAAAUUAAAUAUUUAACGCCCAAAUUUAAUUCGUACUUAUUUAUUACUGUAUGCCUUACAGUUUUUACUAUAUAUGUGUUUUUUAAAAAACCGAAUUAUUUUAAUUAAUUUAUUGAAACGUUACGCGUUUGUUGUAAGUGAGGGACAGGGACAGGGGCACGGGAAAUGGGAACAAUGGGGGGAAAUAUACGGGAACAGUGAGAGUAAGCAAACUCCCACACACACGCACACAUACACACACGAACAGAGAGAGAGAGAGAGAGAGAGAGAGAGAGAGAGGAAGCGAAAGGGAGAGCGAUUAGGGGGAAAUCAGGGGAGGGGGACAGUGCGAAAUCGGGGGUUUCUUUCCCAGUAAUUUGAGAGCAGACCCCGAAGCCGAAGAAGUAUUUAUUUCUAAGUAUUCUUAGCUUGUUUAUUAUUGAGUUAUGUAUGUAAAAUAAAAGAUCCAUUGUUUUAAAUAUACUUAUUUAAUGUAUAAUUAUUAUUUUUUGUAUUGUAUUUAAACAAAAACAAAAAAAGUAUCGCGUAUUCCAAGCAGCAUUUACAUUUUUACAUCAAGGGCAGGACAGAAGAAAAAUACAAACAAAAAUACUAAAAGAAAAUUAAAUACACUUACGCAGACAGACUCAUACACACACACACACAGACAUAUAACAGAAUCGCAUCCACAAGAACGAAAGUAUUUUGCAAAUGUAUUAAAAAUUUUGUGCUAUUUAGUAAAGAUUACCGUAAUUAGCGUAAAAUUUGUUUUCAAAAAAUAAGAAAAAAAAGAAUAUAUAUUCACGAUUACAUACAAAAAUAUUUUAGUCUAAAAUGCAAUUUGUGCAAAACACAAACAAAACAAAAAACCUUUGGUAAAAACACACAAAAUCUAACAAAAAAAUAAAUGCAUUACAAAUGCAGCAAAAAAAUAAAAGAUGAAGGAACUAAAAUGUUAUUAUAAAAAAAAAUAUUUAUGAAAAAUAAUGAACAAAAGAUCAAUCGCUGGCUAUUUGAGGGCAUCCAAAAUUGUGAUAAAUGAAAUAAGAAUGCGACGCUGACCAGGAAGAGUGUCAGCGUGCGAGAGAGAGAGAGAGAGUGAGCAACAAGUGCGGCAGCUGUUAUCGAUGUUUGGCGCGUUUCCGACGCGACUAAAAACGCGCACUUACCGUUUUUAUUUUGUGGCAAGACUGCUUCGGAUCGCCGUUUUUCAAUGCCUGCGUUGAGGCGCUGCAACUGCACGAGGAGAUGGACAAGUACAACGAAUGGCGCGAUACCCUAGGACGCAAGUAAAUGGAGUAACACCGAAGCGGACAAGCACAACAGUUGGCGGAAAAAGCUAUAGCUAAACAAACGCAUAAUACGAGUACUACUUACAUUACUCUUAUACUACCACUUAUACAAUAUAACAUUCUUAUACGAUGUGAUUGUGAACACUUACACACUCAUACGUCUACACCCAUACACACACAUACAAGGCACACGAACGAAGAGAAAAUACACGAGUAAAAAUUAUCACAGCGAAUACGCAAAAUACUUUUAUGGAUUUAGUGAAAGAACAAAAAAAA
This is an RNA transcript of Drosophila innubila, 3138 nucleotides long. It is a transcript of the gene named ion transport peptide, with no coding region annotated. The record is from RefSeq and is a predicted model, not a curated record. The transcript is spliced from 4 exons. NCBI's taxonomy places the organism in Eukaryota, Metazoa, Arthropoda, Insecta, Diptera, Drosophilidae.